Molecule: transfer RNA, 69 nt
Filed under: Marmota marmota marmota (Alpine marmot)
Lineage: Eukaryota; Metazoa; Chordata; Mammalia; Rodentia; Sciuridae
Also listed under: 3 other names
Rfam family: tRNA
About the family: Transfer RNA (tRNA) molecules are approximately 80 nucleotides in length. Their secondary structure includes four short double-helical elements and three loops (D, anti-codon, and T loops).
Source: Rfam by way of RNAcentral
GAGGUUGUAGCUCAGUGGUAGAGUGCUUGCCUAGCAUGCAUGAGGCAAUGGGUUCGAUCCUUAGCAUCA